This 695-nucleotide ribosomal RNA is filed under the name Acherontia lachesis. Its description in RNAcentral is "eukaryotic LSU rRNA". It matches the Rfam family "Eukaryotic large subunit ribosomal RNA", at positions 386 to 796 of the family's 3401-position model. The record is from RNAcentral. Lineage: Eukaryota; Metazoa; Arthropoda; Insecta; Lepidoptera; Sphingidae.
GGGGUAAACCUGCGAAACUCGAAUGAACGAACGGAGAGAUUCAUCGUCAUUCCGGGGCGUACGUGAGCGCUCCACGAUGUGGACGGUACGACUCGUGCGUUUCCGUUCACACGGGACGUUCACGUCUAACGUUCUCGGACGGCGUGCACUUCUCUCUAAGUAAUACAUCGCGACCCGUUCCGUACAAAUUAUCUAAGCGCCUUACGGGAGCCCAGGACGUGUACUUUAACCGGUACACGUUCGCGGACCGUAUUUGAUCGGGUAAGCUGCCGAUAAUUGCGGGACGGUAUUUAAAAUAUGACGACGCGCACGCGUAUUGAACGCGUCCGGCCCGACGCAAGACAACGUCGUCUUACACGAUUCCCGUUCUGCCCGAGCGCGAGCGGGGAUCCGGCGCGUCUGUUGUCGCCGCCGUGCCGUCUCGGACUUGUGCGCGUCGUUUUGAAAUUUGUAUGUCUGCGAUGAUUCAGUUUCGGGCACUCGCAGGACCCGUCUUGAAACACGGACCAAGGAGUCUAGCAUGUGUGCGAGUCAUUGAGUUUAUGAAUUUUUUAACAGACAAAACUGAAAGGCGCAACGAAAGUGAAGGUGAACGCUUGUCGUUCGCUCAGGGAGGAUGAUCGCAUUGCGGUCUCGAUCGGGCGAUUCGCACUCCCGAGACGUCUCGUUUCCAAUCCGUGAAUGCAGGCGCGCUC